CAAUAGCGUAUAUUAAAGUUGUUGCAGUUAAAAAGCUCGUAGUUGGAUUUCGGGGCAGCCUGGCUGGUCCGCCGCAAGGCGAGUACUGGUCAGCCGCCCUUCCUCUCGAAAGCCCCGACUGCUCUUCGUUGCAGUGGUCGGGUAGUUCGGGACGUUUACUUUGAAAAAAUUAGAGUGUUCAAGGCAGGCCUACGCCUGAAUACAUUAGCAUGGAAUAAUGGAAGAGGACCUCAGUCCUAUUUUGUUGGUUUCCAGGGCCGAAGUAAUGAUUAAGAGGGACAGUUGGGGGCAUUCGUAUUUAAUUGUCAGAGGUGAAAUUCUCGGAUUUAUGAAAGACGAACAACUGCGAAAGCAUUUGCCAAGGAUGUUUUCAUUAA
RNAcentral lists this ribosomal RNA (377 nucleotides) under uncultured eukaryote. RNAcentral describes it as "partial 18S ribosomal RNA". It matches the Rfam family "Eukaryotic small subunit ribosomal RNA", at positions 592 to 976 of the family's 1831-position model. The record is from RNAcentral.